CAUGCAUGUGUGUGCCCGUGUGUGUGUGUGUGUGUGUGUGUGUGUUGUGUAGGAGUUGUUCAGUGUGGCUCUGUACCAGAGCUCUUGUACCUGCCAUCAUCAUCUGGCACAACCCAGAGAAUUGCAGGUCUCCCUGCAGACGUAGGCUCAGAGAGGUUGGUGUUCUUGUGCCUCUCAAACCAAGACUUGGAUAGAAUGUUGGUGUUCCAGAAGGGAGCGUUACAUUGGCUUUUAUCACUUGGGAAGGUCUCUCCCCUUAUUUCUGGGGGUAAACUCUUAGCUCUGUGGUUCUGGAAGGAGUGACUGACUCUUACACCUGGGUAUGAACAUAACUUUGCAUUGUGGGUCAUUAUCUGAGAAUGUCAGUGGUUGGAGUCUAGCAUGGGGGCUGCCAUAGUGGUCAUUCAGAACACAAAUCUAACCAGCCGACUUCCCUGCCUCAGUGUUGACCACUGCUCCCUGCUGUCUAUGAAGUAAAGUAGGACAUGCUAAGUUCUUUAAAAUUUGGCUGUGGCCAGGCUUAAAUGUUUUUCCAUUAUUCAUCUCUCAAAACCUCUGCCCCAGUCAACCAAAUUGCAGGGCAUUCUCAGCGGGCAGCAGUUUAUCUUUAUCCAAACCCCUUUGGCCAUUUCUGUAGAAAUUUACAAACGAAUAAGAUGAAAUAUAAAGGGACAAGAACAGUAGCUUAAUCUUCAUAUCAUAAACCUCAUCAAAGCCUUCUUCCUAUCGUACCAGAAGCAAUUUUCAGAUGGUUCAUAGACUGAAAGGUAGAAGCUUCCAGAUGAAAAGAAUGUCUUUUUCAUUUUCUAGGAGGCAAAGAUGUCUUAAAU
Molecule: long non-coding RNA, 830 nt
Filed under: Marmota monax (woodchuck)
Lineage: Eukaryota; Metazoa; Chordata; Mammalia; Rodentia; Sciuridae
Source: RNAcentral